UGGACUGGAUAAAGGGAAAUGAGGUAGGUAGUGGCAACAUUUGGAGUCAAGUAUGGCUGUUGCACUAACAAGUUUCUUUUCUUCCUCUCCUCUGCUCUGUAGCCUCUUUUCAUGAGGGGUACCCUGGCUGGGCAGGCUUUCUUCUCUUUUUCGAAGCGAGCACUGACUGCUCAAGAACAAGUUCCUCUGUUGUUAGCACUCAAGCUUCUCUUUUCCCCCCUAAACUAUGGGGCUUAUGUGCACAGAAGGCACUCAGGGAGUGCUUUCAUAAUAUGUGAUGCAGAGUGACAUGGAGCUGCACAGGGAAAAGACUACCAAGCUAAAGGCAGAAGCAUAUGUACGAGUAUCUCGACUUUCACCAUGGCACCAACUGGAAAGCGCUGGUAUGUACAAAUUACUUAACUGUCUUUGCCAUCAAUUAAGAGAAAAUAACAAGGAUAUUGUACUUAAAACUCACACAAGUGUUCGUGGAAAGGCUUACACCCUCUCUUGACUUCUUGUAGCCAUGAAUCACCU
RNAcentral lists this long non-coding RNA (516 nucleotides) under Anas platyrhynchos platyrhynchos (common mallard). RNAcentral describes it as "lncRNA (ENSAPLG00000024999.1)". The record is from RNAcentral. Lineage: Eukaryota; Metazoa; Chordata; Aves; Anseriformes; Anatidae.